Molecule: ribosomal RNA, 497 nt
Filed under: uncultured bacterium
Lineage: Bacteria
Description: partial 16S ribosomal RNA
Rfam family: Bacterial small subunit ribosomal RNA
Source: RNAcentral
GACGAACGCUGGCGGCGUGCCUAAUACAUGCAAGUCGAGCGAACGGACGAGAAGUUUGCUUCUUUGAUGUUAGCCGCGGACGGGUGAGUAACACGUGGAUAACCUACUUAUAAGACGGGGAUAACUUCGGGAAACCGUAGCUAAUACCGGAUAAUAUUUUGAACCGCAUGGUUCAAAAGUGAAAGACGGCCUUGCUGUCACUUAUAGAUGGUUCCGCGCUGCAUUAGCUAGUUGGUAAGGUAACGGCUUACCAAGGCAACGAUGCAUAGCCGACCUGAGAGGGUGAUCGGCCACACUGGAACUGAGACACGGUCCAGACUCCUACGGGAGGCAGCAGUAGGGAAUCUUCCGCAAUGGGCGAAAGCCUGACGGAGCAACGCCGCGUGAGUGAUGAAGGUCUUCGGAUCGUAAAACUCUGUUAUUAGGGAAGAACAUAUGUGUAAGUAACUGUGCACAUCUUGACGGUACCUAAUCAGAAAGCCACGGCUAACUACGUG